This 57-nucleotide transfer RNA is filed under the name Nippostrongylus brasiliensis. RNAcentral describes it as "tRNA-Glu". The record is from RNAcentral. Lineage: Eukaryota; Metazoa; Nematoda; Chromadorea; Rhabditida; Heligmosomidae.
GAGAUAAUAGUAUAUUUUAGUAUAUUUUAUUUUCAAUAAAAUGGAAAAUUUAUCUUA